Molecule: ribosomal RNA, 1737 nt
Filed under: Salmonella enterica
Lineage: Bacteria; Pseudomonadati; Pseudomonadota; Gammaproteobacteria; Enterobacterales; Enterobacteriaceae
Description: partial 23S ribosomal RNA
Rfam family: Bacterial large subunit ribosomal RNA
Source: RNAcentral
GUUGGGUAGGGGAGCGUUCUGUAAGCCGUUGAAGGUGGCCUGUGAGGGUUGCUGGAGGUAUCAGAAGUGCGAAUGCUGACAUAAGUAACGAUAAAGCGGGUGAAAAGCCCGCUCGCCGGAAGACCAAGGGUUCCUGUCCAACGUUAAUCGGGGCAGGGUGAGUCGACCCCUAAGGCGAGGCCGAAAGGCGUAGUCGAUGGGAAACGGGUUAAUAUUCCCGUACUUGGUGUUACUGCGAAGGGGGGACGGAGAAGGCUAUGUUGGCCGGGCGACGGUUGUCCCGGUUUAAGCGUGUAGGUGUGUGUUCCAGGUAAAUCCGGUUCACUUUAACACUGAGGCGUGACGACGAGGCACUACGGUGCUGAAGCAACAAAUGCCCUGCUUCCAGGAAAAGCCUCUAAGCCUCAGGUAACAUCAAAUCGUACCCCAAACCGACACAGGUGGUCAGGUAGAGAAUACCAAGGCGCUUGAGAGAACUCGGGUGAAGGAACUAGGCAAAAUGGUGCCGUAACUUCGGGAGAAGGCACGCUGACACGUAGGUGAAGUGGUUUACCCAUGGAGCUGAAGUCAGUCGAAGAUACCAGCUGGCUGCAACUGUUUAUUAAAAACACAGCACUGUGCAAACACGAAAGUGGACGUAUACGGUGUGACGCCUGCCCGGUGCCGGAAGGUUAAUUGAUGGGGUCAGCGCAAGCGAAGCUCCUGAUCGAAGCCCCGGUAAACGGCGGCCGUAACUAUAACGGUCCUAAGGUAGCGAAAUUCCUUGUCGGGUAAGUUCCGACCUGCACGAAUGGCGUAAUGAUGGCCAGGCUGUCUCCACCCGGGACUCAGUGAAAUUGAACUCGCUGUGAAGAUGCAGUGUACCCGCGGCAAGACGGAAAGACCCCGUGAACCUUUACUAUAGCUUGACACUGAACACUGGUCCUUGAUGUGCAGGAUAGGUGGGAGGCUUUGAAGUGUGGACGCCAGUCUGCAUGGAGCCGACCUUGAAAUACCACCCUUUAAUGGCUGGUGUUCUAACGUGGACCCGUAAUCCGGGUUGCGGACAGUGUCUGGUGGGUAGUUUGACUGGGGCGGUCUCCUCCUAAAGAGUAACGGAGGAGCACGAAGGUUGGCUAAUCCUGGUCGGACAUCAGGAGGUUAGUGCAAUGGCAUAAGCCAGCUUGACUGCGAGCGUGACGGCGCGAGCAGGUGCGAAAGCAGGUCAUAGUGAUCCGGUGGUUCUGAAUGGAAGGGCCAUCGCUCAACGGAUAAAAGGUACUCCGGGGAUAACAGGCUGAUACCGCCCAAGAGUUCAUAUCGACGGCGGUGUUUGGCACCUCGAUGUCGGCUCAUCACAUCCUGGGGCUGAAGUAGGUCCCAAGGGUAUGGCUGUUCGCCAUUUAAAGUGGUACGCGAGCUGGGUUUAGAACGUCGUGAGACAGUUCGGUCCCUAUCUGCCGUGGGCGCUGGAAGAUUGAGGGGGGCUGCUCCUAGUACGAGAGGACCGGAGUGGACGCAUCACUGGUGUUCGGGUUGUCAUGCCAAUGGCACUGCCCGGUAGCUACAUGCGGAAGAGAUAAGUGCUGAAAGCAUCUAAGCACGAAACUUGCCCCGAGAUGAAUCUUCCCUGAGCCUUUAAGGCUCCUGAAGGAACGUUGAAGACGACGACGUUGAUAGGCCGGGUGUGUAAGCGCAGCGAUGCGUUGAGCUAACCGGUACUAAUGAACCGUGAGGCUUAACCUUACAACGCCGAAG